AUUUCGUUGUUUUAUACACACAACACUCACAUUCCAUUUUUCUAUAUACACAGUUGUGCUUGCAAAAGAGGUAACCUGUACAAAAUAAAGUCAUUCACAUUUUUCAAAAGUUAUGGUUUUGAUUGUAAUGUACCUACACCGAUCUGGUAUAACAUUAUGACCACUAACAGGUGAGGAAAUAACACUGAUUAUCUCUUCAGCAUGGCACCUCUUACUGGGUGGGAUAUAUUAGGGAGCAAGUGAACAUUUUGUCUUCAAAUUACAUGUGUUCAAAGCAGGAAAAAAGGGCAAGCGUAAGGCUCUGAGCAAGUGUCACAAGGGCAAACUAGGCGACUGGAUCAGAGCACCUCGAAACCCCUGCUCCCAGCCUUUGUUCCCAGUCAAUGGUCAGUAUCUAUCAAAAGUGGACUAAGGAAGGAACAGUGGUGAACCAGUCACAGGGUCAUUAAAGGCCAAAGGCUGGUGCUUGUGGUCUGGUCCAACAGAUGAGCUACUGUAGCUCAAAUUGCCAAAAAAGGUAAUAUUGGUACUCAUGGAAAAGUGUCAGAAUACACAGUGCACUGCAGCUGAAAAACGGGCAAACGUAAUAUAGGCAGGUAGUCAUAAUGUUACACCUGAUCAAUGUAGUCUCUACAAGCAUAGGUGCUACACAUUAAAUGAUAUCUAUUCAGAAAAACAAAACAAAACACUGGAGCAACUUGUUAACCCCUUAUCCAAAUCAGGCUGAGCUGUGGGGGGAGGGGUUCAAGAAUGUCUACUGCAGAGUCAGCACAUAGAGACAGAAAGCCAUUCACACUCACACCUUUGGGCAACUUUUAGUCUCCAGUUAACCUAAUAUGGAUGAGGGAGAUGUUUUUUCUUCUUUCUGACUUAUCCGUUCUUAUUUUUAUUAAGGCCCUUUUCAAAUUAGAGGUGUGGACUGCCAGUGUGGGCAGCUCCAACCUCCGGGAGUUUAAACUUGGCUCAUGUAUACUGCUUUUGAAUAAUUUUUUUAAGCACUGUACUUCUCUUUCAUGACCUUUAAGCUUUCUGUUUAUGCACUUUGCCAGCUGAUGAACUGAAUAGGUUAUGUGCAAUAGCAGUGCACUGUUUGCUCUUUUAGAUUUUAUUUAGAUGGAAAAAAUAAUUUCUCAGGAAAUUACCUCCUACAUCAGUGUCUGGAGUUAAACCGUUUGUUGAUCUAAAUAGGACACUUUUGUGAGUUGUGGUUGUUUUUUUGUUGUUUUUUUUAUGCAUCUACGCCACUUCACACCAGAGACCACAGACAAGGGAAGUAGUGGAGAUACAGUUGCUUGUUGUGGGGACUAGCCAUCUGUGGUGGAAUUCCCCCGCCCUGGGAAACAAGUAUAACGCACCAUUUAAGUUGCAGUGAGGAUUGCAGAGAGACUACACUGGUGAGUAAUUGGUGGCACCCUUGGGCACUCCUCUCUGUAGGUUGCCUCCCCAAGUGCCGAUCUCCACCAUUUUGAUUAACUAUUUUAUUGAGCUGCUAUUGUAACCAGGGCAGCAUCGUGGCAGCAAACCUUGUUCUUUUUAGUAAUGUUUGC
This is a long non-coding RNA of Oreochromis aureus, 1547 nucleotides long. The record is from Ensembl. NCBI's taxonomy places the organism in Eukaryota, Metazoa, Chordata, Actinopteri, Cichliformes, Cichlidae.